This is a long non-coding RNA of Corapipo altera (White-ruffed manakin), 396 nucleotides long. RefSeq lists it as uncharacterized. The transcript is spliced from 4 exons. The record is from RefSeq and is a predicted model, not a curated record. Lineage: Eukaryota; Metazoa; Chordata; Aves; Passeriformes; Pipridae.
GUCUUGGAGAAUGUCUGAACAGCUGAAGAACAGAAAAGUCUUUUCUACUGUGCAGAUUUUUCUCUGUAUGAACUUUUCAAGGCUGAAAGAAAUUUCAAGCAGGUUUAGAUGGAGACCCUGCUAAUGGCUAUUUAUGAAGAAAAUGAAAUAAUCUAUGUAUACCACAUAUGCUGUCAUGCUCAUGGCUUCCCUACAUUCCCAAAAUGUUCUUCCCUAGGCCUGUCUUCAGCUCAUCAAAAAGCUUCUUCCUAAGCCAAGUGAGCCUCCUGCUGAAACUCCUAGUGUUUACAUAGGGCCUUCUUCCUGCCUGAAUUCUCAAACAUCAAGAAGCUCUCCGGGGAACGCUUCGACCUUAUGCCUGUUCCCCUGGGAUUUUACCCUGCUGUUCUCUUUAAU